GACGAACGCUGGCGGCGUGCUUAACACAUGCAAGUCGAACGGAAAGGCCCUGCUUUUGUGGGGUGCUCGAGUGGCGAACGGGUGAGUAACACGUGAGUAACCUGCCCUUGACUUUGGGAUAACUUCAGGAAACUGGGGCUAAUACCGGAUAGGAGUUCCUGCUGCAUGGUGGGGGUUGGAAAGUUUCGGCGGUUGGGGAUGGACUCGCGGCUUAUCAGCUUGUUGGUGGGGUAGUGGCUUACCAAGGCUUUGACGGGUAGCCGGCCUGAGAGGGUGACCGGCCACAUUGGGACUGGGAUACGGCCCAGACUCCUACGGGAGGCAGCAGUGGAGUAUAUUGCACAAUGGGCUGAAGCCUGAUGCAGCAACGCCGCGUGCGGGAUGACGGCCUUCGGGUUGUAAACCGCUUUCGCCUGUGACGAAGCGUGAGUGACGGUAAUGGGUAAAGAAGCACCGGCUAACUACGUG
This 468-nucleotide ribosomal RNA is filed under the name uncultured bacterium. Its description in RNAcentral is "partial 16S ribosomal RNA". It matches the Rfam family "Bacterial small subunit ribosomal RNA", at positions 28 to 507 of the family's 1533-position model. The record is from RNAcentral.